This 407-nucleotide ribosomal RNA is filed under the name uncultured bacterium. RNAcentral's name for it is "partial 16S ribosomal RNA". It matches the Rfam family "Bacterial small subunit ribosomal RNA", at positions 30 to 526 of the family's 1533-position model. The record is from RNAcentral.
AUUGAACGCUGGCGGCAGGCCUAACACAUGCAAGUCGAGCGGAGCGGCCGACGGGUGGGUAAUGCCUAGGAAUCUGCCUGGUCGUUGGGGAUAACGUCCGGAAACGGGAGCUAAUACCGCAUACUAUCAGAUGAGCCUCGGUCGCAUUAGCGAGUUGGGGGGGUAAAGGCCUACCAAGGCGACGAUCCGUAACUGGUCUGAGAGGCUGAUCAGUCACACUGGAACUGAGACACGGUCCAGACUCCUACGGGAGGCAGCAGUGGGGAAUAUUGGACAAUGGGCGAAAGCCUGAUCCAGCCAUGCCGCGUGUGUGAAGAAGGUCUUCGGAUUGUAAAGCACUUUAAGUUGGGAAGCGGUACCAACACAAUAAGCACCGGCUAACUCCGUGCCAGCAGCCGCGGUAAUUC